CCAAACACAGAGUUUUGGUAAAUUCCAUUAGCAACUAAAAAAAAUUCCAUAAUUCAGACCAGGAAAAACAUUUUGAAGGGUCGUACAUCUUUUGCAGUUAUGAACAUAUUCCAUGGCAUCAAAAUUCCAAUUCCAUGAAGUACCAUUAUGCAGAAUACUAUGUUUAAUCUAAAAUAAAUACAUAUUUUA
This is a non-coding RNA of Osmia lignaria (orchard mason bee), 189 nucleotides long. NCBI's taxonomy places the organism in Eukaryota, Metazoa, Arthropoda, Insecta, Hymenoptera, Megachilidae. The record is from RefSeq and is a predicted model, not a curated record.